RNAcentral lists this transfer RNA (86 nucleotides) under Endomicrobium sp. Its description in RNAcentral is "tRNA-Leu". It matches the Rfam family "tRNA". Rfam says of the family: Transfer RNA (tRNA) molecules are approximately 80 nucleotides in length. Their secondary structure includes four short double-helical elements and three loops (D, anti-codon, and T loops). The record is from RNAcentral. Lineage: Bacteria; Pseudomonadati; Elusimicrobiota; Endomicrobiia; Endomicrobiales; Endomicrobiaceae.
GCGGACGUGGCGAAAUAUGGCAAACGCAUAUGGUUUAGGGCCAUAUACUAAUUUUUAGUUUGAGGGUUCAAAUCCCUCCGUCCGCA